This 765-nucleotide ribosomal RNA is filed under the name uncultured Streptococcus sp. Its description in RNAcentral is "bacterial SSU rRNA". It matches the Rfam family "Bacterial small subunit ribosomal RNA", at positions 28 to 776 of the family's 1533-position model. The record is from RNAcentral. Lineage: Bacteria; Bacillati; Bacillota; Bacilli; Lactobacillales; Streptococcaceae.
GAUGAACGCUGGCGGCGUGCCUAAUACAUGCAAGUAGAACGCUGAAGGAAGGAGCUUGCCCUUUCCGGAUGAGUUGCGAACGGGUGAGUAACGCGUAGGUAACCUGCCUGGUAGCGGGGGAUAACUAUUGGAAACGAUAGCUAAUACCGCAUAACAGUAGAUGUUGCAUGAUAUCUGCUUGAAAGGGGCAAUUGCUCCACUACCAGAUGGACCUGCGUUGUAUUAGCUAGUUGGUGAGGUAACGGCUCACCAAGGCGACGAUACAUAGCCGACCUGAGAGGGUGAUCGGCCACACUGGGACUGAGACACGGCCCAGACUCCUACGGGAGGCAGCAGUAGGGAAUCUUCGGCAAUGGACGGAAGUCUGACCGAGCAACGCCGCGUGAGUGAAGAAGGUUUUCGGAUCGUAAAGCUCUGUUGUAAGAGAAGAACGAGUGUGAAAGUGGAAAGUUCACACUGUGACGGUAUCUUACCAGAAAGGGACGGCUAACUACGUGCCAGCAGCCGCGGUAAUACGUAGGUCCCGAGCGUUAUCCGGAUUUAUUGGGCGUAAAGCGAGCGCAGGCGGUUAGAUAAGUCUGAAGUUAAAGGCUGUGGCUUAACCAUAGUACGCUUUGGAAACUGUUUAACUUGAGUGCAAGAGGGGAGAGUGGAAUUCCAUGUGUAGCGGUGAAAUGCGUAGAUAUAUGGAGGAACACCGGUGGCGAAAGCGGCUCUCUGGCUUGUAACUGACGCUGAGGCUCGAAAGCGUGGGGAGCAAACAGG